Molecule: small nuclear RNA, 311 nt
Filed under: Oryctolagus cuniculus (rabbit)
Lineage: Eukaryota; Metazoa; Chordata; Mammalia; Lagomorpha; Leporidae
Description: 7SK RNA
Rfam family: 7SK RNA
About the family: 7SK was discovered as an abundant small nuclear RNA in the mid-70s but a possible function has only recently been suggested.
Source: Rfam by way of RNAcentral
AGAUGUGAGGGCGAUCUGGCUGCGACAUCUGUCACCCCAUUGAUCGCCAGGGUUGAUUCGGCUGACCUGGCUGGCUAGGCGGGUGUCCCCUUCCUCCCUCACCACUCCAUGUGCGUCCCUCCCGAAGCUGCGCGCUCAAAGAGAAUGACCUUCCCCGCUAGAGGAGGACCAGUCUUUGGUCAAGGGUAUAUGAGAGCUGCACUCCCUGCUAGAACCUCCAAACUAGCUCUCAAAUAAAUAAAUAAAUCUUUUAAAAAAAUGAAUGUGGGUCUAUACCAACCACCAUUUACAAGAAUUAACUCAAAAUGAAU